RNAcentral lists this transfer RNA (74 nucleotides) under Candidatus Woesearchaeota archaeon. Its description in RNAcentral is "tRNA-Ala". It matches the Rfam family "tRNA". From Rfam's summary of the family: Transfer RNA (tRNA) molecules are approximately 80 nucleotides in length. The record is from RNAcentral. Lineage: Archaea; Nanobdellati; Candidatus Woesearchaeota.
GGGCCAGUAGCCCAGUCUGGUAGAGCGCCUGCUUUGCAAGCAGGAGGUCUCGGGUUCGAAUCCCGACUGGUCCA